RNAcentral lists this long non-coding RNA (1217 nucleotides) under Cyanistes caeruleus (blue tit). RNAcentral describes it as "lncRNA (ENSCCEG00000007942.1)". The record is from RNAcentral. Lineage: Eukaryota; Metazoa; Chordata; Aves; Passeriformes; Paridae.
AUGUGGGGAGGCCGCGGGCGGGCCCCGCUCCGCUGUGCCGGGGCAGGGCAGGGCAGGGCAGCGGGGCAGCCCGAGCUCCCCGGGCCCCAGGGGCGGCUCCUCAGGCAGCCGGGACGGCUUGGCCUGGGUGGGUCCGGGACGGGCACUGAGCCGCAGCUGUGCUGCACACACACAGUACUCUGGACACACUGGGUGCUGUGGAUGAGAGAGAACCUCCGCCGAGCCCGGCUUUGGAGUGGGGUCAGGAGGAGCAGCCGGUGGGACCGGAGCUGGAGGGGACCUGGUCCUUCAGGAGUGACCGAGAAGUCUAUGACCAUGGCCUACCCAGCCCUCUGGAGUUACUCAGUGGUGGCACAGCCCCGACUGCUCUGCCAGAUGUGAUGAGUUUGUGCCCAGCUGGCUGAAACCCCAAUUAGACCAUAACAGUGAUUUCAGCUAGAGGAAAUAAUUUGGUUAUUCUGACUGUUCAGUGUGCUCCUGUCACCAUAGAGGACUUCACUGCACUUGGACAGGAACAAUAUUGAUAGUACUACACUGGGGGGAGUCACCCUGUCUAGGAUUUGGCACUCUCUCCUGUAAUAGCCUGUGCUGAUGGACAUCAAGAGGUGAACCUUUCCUGACCCUAUGUUAUGCACAAGAAAACAAAAGCAGAAGUAUCUUUUCCACUUUACAUGUGAGGGAUAAGUGUUACAGCAUUUUGGUAUCCUUGUCUUGUGUUUGUCAUAAUAUCCUAAUCCAUUGAGGCCAUGUUAAGGAGGGACCUUUGAGAGCUCUAUAAAUCGGAUUUCCUCAAAGUGAAACAGGAUGGGAUUGCAAUGUCUCCUUGGCAUGGCCCUGAAACCAAAACGAUUCUUCACUGACUAAAUAGUUUGAUGAGCUGGUUAGACUACAGCCUGCAGCCAGAGAUGGAAAGGAAGCUGCCUUUUCCUUGAAUUCUGCUCCUUUUUCUCAUGCAAGCUGGAAACAGAACUAACACGAAGUAAUUCCUCUCACUGCUAACCUCAGACUCAAGUUUGAUUACUCACUGCAUUAAUUUACCAAUUCCAUGAUUCGAACCCAUUGGUUUAUUGAUUUUGUCUUAAUAGGAACACAGAUGCAAUCACGGGAUUGUUCAGUUUUUAAUUAACUUUGCAAAAUUAUAGCAGAUUUACCCUGCUGUCUUAAAAAUUAACUCCCUAGCUUAUUCUUUUCAAUAAAACCCAUUUCAAUAAAAUCCA